ACCCAUCAGUCUCCUUAUUUUACAGAAGUGAGAUCUCAGGAAAUGUUGCUUAUUCCAGAUGUUCUUCUAAGCAUAGAGGAAAGUUAGAGUUCAGUUUAGUCUCAAUGUUCCUUCGAUCUAAUACACUGGUGAAAACGAGGUCAGUGUGUGACUACAGCAUAUGGGUUUUUUUUUCUUUUCUUUUUCCCCCUCUAUUGACACCUGUGUGUGAUGGAUGCAGUAAUACACAGCUGUGUCUUCUGUUUGCAUGUUAUGUCCUCUCAGUCACUGUGCUGCUGGAGCCGAAAUACUGAACUUGAGAUUAUCUUUGAUAAUCACCACUACUCCAAUUGUGGUUUAUCCACUUCAGAGUUAUUCCUGCAGGUUGUCAAAUCUGAGAUGUGGCAUAACUUUUCAAUAACAGAGUAGCCGGAUACUUUACAGCUGAGGGUUAAAGAAUCUCCUGCCUCUAACAUCACUGAGGUGACCUGAGUUCUAUUGCACAUCCCACAUCUGAAAGAGAUGUCACAAUUUCAGUCACAAAUGUGUGUACAGUAGGUUAUAACUGUAAUUCACUACAGUAGAAGCUUUGAGUCCAUUAUUGAGGUGAAUGUCACAGGAUGAAGCUGCUAGCAGCAGCAAAAAUGGAAGGGACAUCAUUGAACCAAAAGCAGUGCUAAAUGUGUAUCCUGCAGGUUUUACUAAUUACAAUGGAAAUGCUCUUUAGUGAUAGCCUUGGUUUGUAUUAACUGAAGACAGAACAAUUGAUUUAAAUUUAGUACUAGAAAUGACCAUCAUAUGCUGCAAAGACAUCUGUCAAUACCAAACAUUUGUAACUAGGAGAGCACAUCACAUUUGAAUGAAAUUGUCUUUUAUACAUUUGAAGUAAGAGCUUCAUUCUGGUCAAGGUUGCAUUUGAAUCUGGAGACUAUUACUUCACAUUGGGUGUGAGGCAGGAAGACCUCCUGGAUGGGACGCCCUUCUAUCAUGCACACACCACACCCAUUCACAUGCUCAUUCAUGACAUACAUUUACCAGCUUGUUUUUAGAUAGUGGGAGGAAACUGGAGAUCCCAGAGGAAACCCACAUGAACAUAGGAAGAAGAUGAUGAAACACCACACAGACGCAUGUAGGAACUUCUAUAUUGGCUGGAGCUCAUUACACCGACUCUUGGAAACAUAGCGGACAGUCAAAGAAGUCACUAUUAGGCUUUUUCAAAGGAGAAGUAUCACUGUGGGUCACGGGCACAGUAAUACACUGCAGUGUCUUCUGUCCUCACGCUGUUCAUCUGCAGAUACACCUGCAUCUUACUGUUGUCUCUGGAGAUGGUGAAGCGGCCAUUAACUGCACUG
Molecule: long non-coding RNA, 1331 nt
Organism: Ictalurus punctatus (channel catfish)
Lineage: Eukaryota; Metazoa; Chordata; Actinopteri; Siluriformes; Ictaluridae
Exons: 3
Source: RefSeq, a predicted model, not a curated record